Molecule: ribosomal RNA, 450 nt
Filed under: uncultured bacterium
Lineage: Bacteria
Description: bacterial SSU rRNA
Rfam family: Bacterial small subunit ribosomal RNA
Source: RNAcentral
AACGAACGCUGGCGGCAUGCCUAACACAUGCAAGUCGAACGAGACCUUCGGGUCUAGUGGCGCACGGGUGCGUAACGCGUGGGAAUCUGCCCCUUGGUUCGGAAUAACAGUUAGAAAUGACUGCUAAUACCGGAUGAUGACGAAAGUCCAAAGAUUUAUCGCCGAGGGAUGAGCCCGCGUAGGAUUAGCUAGUUGGUGAGGUAAAGGCUCACCAAGGCGACGAUCCUUAGCUGGUCUGAGAGGAUGAUCAGCCACACUGGGACUGAGACACGGCCCAGACUCCUACGGGAGGCAGCAGUGGGGAAUAUUGGACAAUGGGCGAAAGCCUGAUCCAGCAAUGCCGCGUGAGUGAUGAAGGCCUUAGGGUCGUAAAGCUCUUUUACCAGGGAUGAUAAUGACAGUACCUGGAGAAUAAGCUCCGGCUAACUCCGUGCCAGCAGCCGCGGUAAU